Xenia sp. Carnegie-2017 is the source of this 759-nucleotide long non-coding RNA. RefSeq lists it as uncharacterized. Lineage: Eukaryota; Metazoa; Cnidaria; Anthozoa; Malacalcyonacea; Xeniidae. The record is from RefSeq and is a predicted model, not a curated record. The transcript has 2 exons.
UAGGUUGAUGAAAACUCUCUAAUAAAUAAAUGGUUGAAUGAAUUUUAAAUCUUCCUGUAACGUUUACAUCAAUUUUCAAGUUUAGCUGUCUUGUUUUGGAUGAAGCCAGCCUUCCCUUAAGUCCCCACCCUCUUUUCCCAGAUCACCAUUAAUUUUUUUCAUGUCUGAGCUUCGUCUCUAAGCCUUAGACUUAGAUUUGAUUUGACAUAAUUCGCGCGUGCGCAAUCACAUUUCGAAUUAUGAAUUUAUGUAAAUUACGCGCAUCUUACGUAAGGUUGUGUAACAGAAAUAAAACUGCGAAAACAGCAAAUUUUCCUCGCUGUAGAUGCUAAAAUGCGAAUAUAUGCUAUUUAAAAUAAAUCGCAAAGGCCAGAAAAUGUACCACAGCUUUCGCUUCACUGCUUCAGCCAUCGUCAAGAAAAAAAAGUUUUACAUCCAGAUCAAAUCAAUGGACAAUGGUACUUGCUAACAUCAUAGUCAAGCAAGAGAUAUUGAACAGGAAAUUCCAGAAGAUAAAUCCAAAUAUUUUGAUAAAUCCAGAUAUUUGUUUUUUUAACAUUUCACUUUCUUCUCAUUUUGUUCAAACCAAAUCUACCUUUCCUAAAUUAAUGCACUUCUUUUAUAAUUCUUAUUAAUUGUUCCACACCCAAUCUGCAUAUUUCAUUGUAAGUUCAUUUAACCACCAAUAUUACAACAAUUGACAGUUACAGCAAUUUAUAAUGUCAACAAUUAAAAUUUUGAAAAUUCUCAAUGGAAAAA